RNAcentral lists this ribosomal RNA (907 nucleotides) under uncultured bacterium. RNAcentral describes it as "bacterial SSU rRNA". It matches the Rfam family "Bacterial small subunit ribosomal RNA", at positions 8 to 916 of the family's 1533-position model. The record is from RNAcentral.
AGAGUUUGAUCAUGGCUCAGGACGAACGCUGGCGGUAUGCUUAACACAUGCAAGUCGAACGCGACGGUUAUUAAUGAUCCUUCGGGAGAUUUAAUAACUAGAAAGUGGCGAACGGGUGUGUAACGCGUGGAUAACCUACCUCAUGGAGAGGGAUAGCCCCGAGAAAUUGGGAGUAAAACCUCAUAUUAUUAUCGAGUCGCAUGGCUUGACAAUGAAAACUCCGGUGCCAUGAGAUGGAUCCGCGUCCCAUUAGCUAGUUGGUGAGAUAAUAGCCCACCAAGGCAACGAUGGGUAGCCGGUCUGAGAGGGCGAACGGCCACACUGGAACUGAGACACGGUCCAGACUCCUACGGGAGGCAGCAGUGGGGAAUCUUGCGCAAUGGGCGAAAGCCUGACGCAGCGACGCCGCGUGAGCGAUGAAGGCCUUCGGGUCGUAAAGCUCUGUCAGAGGGGACGAUAAUGACGGUACCCUCAGAGGAAGCCCCGGCUAACUACGUGCCAGCAGCCGCGGUAAGACGUAGGGGGCUAGCGUUGUCCGGAAUUACUGGGCGUAAAGGGCGUGUAGGCGGCCAGGCAAGUCAGUGGUGAAACACCUGGGCUUAACCGACGUAUUGCCAUUGAAACUGUCUGGCUUGAGGAUAGAAGAGGAGUGUGGAAUUCCCGGUGUAGCGGUGAAAUGCGUAGAGAUCGGGAGGAACACCAGUGGCGAAGGCGGCACUCUGGUCUAUACCUGACGCUGAGGCGCGAAAGCUAGGGAAGCAAACAGGAUUAGAUACCCUGGUAGUCCUAGCCGUAAACGAUGGGCACUAGGUGUAGGAGGUUUAGAUACCUUCUGUGCCGUAGCUAACGCAUUAAGUGCCCCGCCUGGGGACUACGGUCGCAAGGCUAAACUCAAAUGAAUUGACGG